GCCCGGAUAGCUCAGUUGGUAGAGCAGGGGACUGAAAAUCCCCGUGUCGGUGGUUCAAUUCCACCUUCGGGCA
This 73-nucleotide transfer RNA is filed under the name Buchnera aphidicola (Sitobion avenae). RNAcentral describes it as "tRNA-Phe". It matches the Rfam family "tRNA". From Rfam's summary of the family: Transfer RNA (tRNA) molecules are approximately 80 nucleotides in length. Their secondary structure includes four short double-helical elements and three loops (D, anti-codon, and T loops). The record is from RNAcentral. RNAcentral also lists the same sequence under 2 other names. Lineage: Bacteria; Pseudomonadati; Pseudomonadota; Gammaproteobacteria; Enterobacterales; Erwiniaceae.